Molecule: ribosomal RNA, 497 nt
Filed under: uncultured bacterium
Lineage: Bacteria
Description: partial 16S ribosomal RNA
Rfam family: Bacterial small subunit ribosomal RNA
Source: RNAcentral
GAUGAACGCUGGCGGCGUACCUAAUACAUGCAAGUCGAGCGAACAGACGAGGAGCUUGCUCCUCUGACGUUAGCGGCGGACGGGUGAGUAACACGUGGAUAACCUACCUAUAAGACUGGGAUAACUUCGGGAAACCGGAGCUAAUACCGGAUAAUAUAUUGAACCGCAUGGUUCAAUAGUGAAAGACGGUUUUGCUGUCACUUAUAGAUGGAUCCGCGCCGCAUUAGCUAGUUGGUAAGGUAACGGCUUACCAAGGCGACGAUGCGUAGCCGACCUGAGAGGGUGAUCGGCCACACUGGAACUGAGGCACGGUCCAGACUCCUACGGGAGGCAGCAGUAGGGAAUCUUCCGCAAUGGGCGAAAGCCUGACGGAGCAACGCCGCGUGAGUGAUGAAGGUCUUCGGAUCGUAAAACUCUGUUAUUAGGGAAGAACAAAUGUGUAAGUAACUAUGCACGUCUUGACGGUACCUAAUCAGAAAGCCACGGCUAACUACGUG